AGCAGGCUCCCACCCUGCCCUUCAGAGUUGCAGCAGCUAAUGCUGAUGCCAGAAACUUGUCCUGAAAGGAAGCCUCUGAUUAGGGCCCUGAACCAACUUCCUUUUCGCAUCUGCACACAUAUGGAGGCAACCACUCAAGGCCACUCUGAGGAGGGUUGAACGUGCUUUAUUAAAAGGACUGAGGAUCAUGUGUGUUGAUGUGUCCUGGACUCUGCUUUAAGCUCAGAGAAUUUAGUUUCUGCUGUCAUCACAGCUGGGAAUGAGAAAGGGUGGGGGCUCCGGUUGGUCUCCCUCUGCCUCUGGAGCACACAUGCAGGACAUGAGGCUGUUGUAGGAGCAGCUCUGAAAGCUGAGUUUUCGGGUCCUUGUGAAGGAGGGAAGCUUGCCUGCCUUGGAACGUGAAAAAGUCUUGCUGGACUGAAGUCUCACGGUUUAAAAAUGGGAAGGGAGAGGAUUGAGAUCACACUAGAAUGCACAGAAAAUUCUUAAAACAAAAAAAUAAUGAAAGAAACUUCAUCAGAAUGUGAAAAGAAUUAUAAAGCUACAGUGCUGACGAGAGGGCAAUACUGGCUGUAGAAUGACAAGAUUCAUGGAACACAGUGGAAAAUGCAGAAAGAGAGCCACAUGUAUGUAAUAUUUUAUCAUGUGAUAAAGUGAUAUGUUAAUAUCCA
Molecule: non-coding RNA, 671 nt
Filed under: Pongo abelii (Sumatran orangutan)
Lineage: Eukaryota; Metazoa; Chordata; Mammalia; Primates; Hominidae
Source: RNAcentral